RNAcentral lists this ribosomal RNA (442 nucleotides) under uncultured bacterium. RNAcentral's name for it is "partial 16S ribosomal RNA". It matches the Rfam family "Bacterial small subunit ribosomal RNA", at positions 338 to 795 of the family's 1533-position model. The record is from RNAcentral.
ACUACGGGUGGCAGCAGUGGGGAAUAUUGGGCAAUGGGCGCAAGCCUGACCCAGCAACGCCGCGUGAAGGAAGAAGGCCCUCGGGUUGUAAACUUCUUUUAUCAGGGACGAAGAAAGUGACGGUACCUGAUGAAUAAGCCACGGCGAACUACGGGCCAGCAGCGGCGGUAAUACGUAGGUGGCAAGCUUAAUCCGGAUUUACGGGGGUGAAAGGGCGUGUAGGCGGGAAAGCAAGUCAGCUGUGAAACCAUGGGCUCAACCUGUGGCCUGCAUUUGAAACUGUUUUUCUUGAGUACUGGAGAAGCAGACGGAAUUCCUAGUGUAGCGGUGAAAUGCGUAGAUAUUAGGAGGAACGCCAGGGGCGAAGGCGGUCUGCUGGACAGCAACUGACGCUGAGGCGCGAAAGCGUGGGGAGCAAACAGGAUUAGAUACCCUUGUAGUC